UACGGGAGGGGCUAGCGGUGUUCGGAAUUACUGGGCGUAAAGAGCGCGUAGGCGGCUUACCAAGUUGGGGGUGAAAUCCCGGAGCUCAACUCCGGAACUGCCUUCAAAACUGGUAGGCUCGAGUCCGGAAGAGGGGCGUGGAAUUCCCAGUGUAGAGGUGAAAUUCGUAGAUAUUGGGAAGAACACCGGUGGCGAAGGCGGCGCCCUGGUCCGGUACUGACGCUGAGGCGCGAAAGUGUGGGGAGCAAACAGG
This 253-nucleotide ribosomal RNA is filed under the name uncultured bacterium. Its description in RNAcentral is "partial 16S ribosomal RNA". It matches the Rfam family "Bacterial small subunit ribosomal RNA", at positions 524 to 776 of the family's 1533-position model. The record is from RNAcentral.